RNAcentral lists this ribosomal RNA (354 nucleotides) under uncultured bacterium. RNAcentral's name for it is "partial 16S ribosomal RNA". It matches the Rfam family "Bacterial small subunit ribosomal RNA", at positions 338 to 706 of the family's 1533-position model. The record is from RNAcentral.
CCUACGGGUGGCAGCAGUGGGGAAUAUUGGGCAAUGGGCGCAAGCCUGACCCAGCAACGCCGCGUGAAGGAAGAAGGCUUUCGGGUUGUAAACUUCUUUUAUCAGGGACGAAGCAAGUGACGGUACCUGAUGAAUAAGCCACGGCUAACUACGUGCCAGCAGCCGCGGUAAUGAGUAGGUGGAAAGCGUUAUCCGGAUUUACUGGGUGUAAAGGGCGUGUAGGCGGGUGUGCAAGUCAGAUGUGAAAACUAUGGGCUCAACCCAUGGACUGCAUUUGAUACUGUACUUCUUGAGUGCUGGAGAGGCAGUUGGAAUGCCUGGUGUAGGGGGGAAAUGCGUAGAUAGACGGAGGAA